Small nucleolar RNA from Suncus etruscus (white-toothed pygmy shrew), 131 nucleotides. RefSeq annotates it as small nucleolar RNA SNORA38. The transcript has a single exon. Lineage: Eukaryota; Metazoa; Chordata; Mammalia; Eulipotyphla; Soricidae. The record is from RefSeq and is a predicted model, not a curated record.
CCCUCCUACAAAGGCAUAUCUAUGGGUCUCUGUCUUUGGGUACAUAAGAAUCGGAGGUAAAGAAAAGUGGACCUGGGGAAAUUUAAGGCUAACUUGCUCCCUGCUGUUCCAAGAUCAACAGACCCACAUUG